Long non-coding RNA from Salvelinus namaycush (lake trout), 1423 nucleotides. RefSeq lists it as uncharacterized. The transcript is spliced from 2 exons. NCBI's taxonomy places the organism in Eukaryota, Metazoa, Chordata, Actinopteri, Salmoniformes, Salmonidae. The record is from RefSeq and is a predicted model, not a curated record.
AAAAAAUAAUUGACUGCGGACAAAGUCCCCACUUGGGAGAACAUUUUCCAGAAAUCCACAAAAUAUAAGUAUAACAUUUAAUUAUUCACCAAAUGAUAACGUUUUCAAGAAAUUACUUUCAUAUCAAUUGUGAAUUAAAAUGUUAAGUAACUGGUGAUUAUCAGCCCAUUGCCAAGCUAGCUAAUACAUCGGACACGAUAGCUAGCCAGAAGGCGAUCUCAUCCUGCUAAUCAGCUGUUUAGAGAUGACCUAAACUAACUAAUCGUAUAUUCUGCAAUGUGUCAAUUGUGAAGACCCAGAGUUUUAAAAAAAAGAGUUUCUUCCCAUUUGUUUACAGAGACUAAAGUAGCACCUGAUCACGUUUCACUCCAUUGUAUUGGCUUGGCAGGAGAAAAAGUCCUGCACGACUCGUUUGGAAGUUGAAUGAUUUUCCACCCUGCAGAUGUAAGGAACUUGUUAUGAACCUCCCAGCCACCAGGAUAAUCACCGAAUCCCAGGAUAUUAUUUAGGAGUGUGCCAACCUCACAAUGUUAGAAAUAGAUUCACCCAUGAUAUUAUUUAUCAUGCAGGUUGGUCAGGACAUUGUACUUUAUAAAGCUCAUUCUGAAAUAUGAUAUCUGUCCCAGGGGAUUCAAUUUAGACCCCAAUUAGGUGUUAGUGAAGGGCUGAAAAAACAACUGUAAACUCCUGUCUCAAAUAAGACAUGAAGGUCAGUCAAUCAGGAAAAUCAUGGAGUGAGUAGGUGUGUCCAACAUUUUGACUGGUGUGUGUAAUAUAUAUAUAUAUAUAUAUAUAUACCUGUUUGAUAUGCAUUUACUGCAUAUCAUAUUGGACAUGUUAUCCUUCAUCACAUGCAAGUAUUUAUUUUGUAUUCAUUGCAUUUAGCUUACAUUAGGAAGAAGUAGCCUAGGUAGUCUAAUCUAGUUACAGUAGAUUGCAUCGUAUCACCUUUCAAUAUUAUUAACGAAUAUGAAACCAUGUUAACUUGAACAUAUCAUUUAAUAAUAUGCACGGGUGUCAUAUUUGUAUGACUGUAUCACAAUGCAAGCCUACUAAUUCAAAAAAUACAGCAGCUCUAAUGCAAUAUUAGCUUCACAAUGAAACACCACUAUUCUUAAAUGGUCAGUAAAAUAGCUUAUUUAGUUGUAAAUGAAAAUCGUAGCCUGUAUGUUAUCAUGCAUGCAAACUUGUCAUGUCCACAACAAUGGAGCAGCAAACCAAGCAACAUGCGAGAGGAGGACCCCAUACCGUAGGAUAAUUAUUCUGGUCGGUGUCAACUUCAUUCAUAAUUCAGGUACUGAGGAGCUCGAUUCUGUUACUUGUUUACCUGCUAUUCGUGUCAGAUGUUUCCAUUUUGAGAUAUCCUUGCUGCACAAUUUUCCUACUGCAAUGAAAUGGGUACUAUUAAAAUCCGACAUCUGUA